This 53-nucleotide transfer RNA is filed under the name Fastosarion longimentula. Its description in RNAcentral is "tRNA-Val". The record is from RNAcentral. Lineage: Eukaryota; Metazoa; Mollusca; Gastropoda; Stylommatophora; Helicarionidae.
AUUAUAACUUAAGUAUAAUGUAUAUUUCACUUACAAUGAUAAGGUCUAUUUUA